Molecule: ribosomal RNA, 271 nt
Filed under: uncultured archaeon
Lineage: Archaea
Description: partial 16S ribosomal RNA
Rfam family: Archaeal small subunit ribosomal RNA
Source: RNAcentral
CAGCGCCACAAGUGGGGACCAGUAUUAUUGGGCCUAAAGCAUCUGUAGCCGGAUUAGUAAAUUCUUUGUGAAAUCAUGGGGCUUAACCUUAUGGCGUGCAGAGAACACUGCUGAUCUUGAGACCGGGAGGAGUUAGAGGAAUGCAAUGGGUAGUGGUAAAAUGCUAUAAUCCUUUGUAGACCACCUGUGGCGAAGGCGUCUAACUAGAACGGGUCUGACGGUGAGGGACGAAAGCUAGGGGAGCGAUCCGGAUUAGAUACCCGAGUAGUCC